GGCUCUCUGACCAGGCUGCUCCUCCCUGGGAGGGAAUGCAAGGAACCCAAAGAAACUCAAGCAUGCAGGGCUUUAAGGGUCCCCAGGAGUCUGGCUGGCAGUAUCCUAAUCACCUGGGACAUCAGGUUCAAACAAACAACCUCCCGGGUGGGUCCUAGUCCCAGAGACUAGGGGGGGUGGCUGAGAACGGAUGAGCCAGAGGGUGAGGGCAGGUGCCGAGUCAGGCUUCGGAUCUCACCCCUGCUUCCCGAGUCUGAGGGUGGAAGUCUGCGUCCUUAACAAACACUCCAGGAGGUGUUGUUACAAUAACAUGACCCAGGCAGUCUGGCUCCAGAGCCUGUGUGCGGAGACUCCUGCUGAAGCUGGGUUUGGAGGGCAGGAUGGAGCAUGUGCUACACACACUAUGCUGAGCUCAGCCUCCCAAGGAACACUUCAGCCCAUCUCCAAUUCACUAUGACCAUCCUCUUGUUCACAGGAGGAAGGCUGAGGCUUCGGGAGGACAGGGGACAGCACAGGCCUCAGCUAUUAAACGGUAAACUGGGGACUGAACCUAUUCUUUUCCCCACAGCAUCCGAAAGUUGGACAUUACUGCCCAGCCCUCCAUGACCACCAAUGCUCCCAAGGGCCUGAAGACCCCGUGAGACGUGACCCCGCUUCCUUCUCCAGUGUCACCUGACCUGCCCUACUCUGGCCACAAUGACCUGAAUUUGGUCCUCCUUGUCACCUCCAGCCACAGGACCUCUGCACCGGCAGUUUCUGCUGCCUGCGAUGCUCUUCCUACCUUUGCCUAGAGUCCUCCUCCUUGGACCUCUGCUCAGUUUUAUUUCUCCGGGGAAGCCUUCCCUGGCACGGAGCCAGGCCCCCUUGUUAUCCACUCUCAAGGCCCCCUGCCAUGCCCUGCAGCAUUCUCUGGCAAUGUGGAGUGGAACACUGCUGUAUCAUUGCAGACUUCAGCCUCUCUGCUGCUAGGCUGUGAACUUCAUGAGGGCUGGGUCCACGGCCGUCUUGGUCACUGCUCUAUUCCUGGCAUUUCAGGAGGAGGCCUGGUAAAUCCUAAGCAAGUGGCUUCUUCAUGGGUGCUUGCAAAGUUAAGAGGGUGUCUUGUAGAUGUAAGGUGAGACCUCACUCCGAAGGGGAAGCCAGCCCCUGCUCAGAGGACAGGACUCCAGAGCCCCCCAAGCCUGACCUUCAGACCAUUUCUUGGCACCUGCCACGCAUGGGUCAUGUACCACACCGCUUCCUAUGUGUUACUCUUGGAGCUAGUAAUACAAUCUGAGUUCUACAGACGAUGCUACUGAGGUUUAGAUAAGGAGAAAUGACUCACCCAAGGCCACACGAGGUGUGUAAAUGGCUGAGCUUUUCUCACUAUAUUAGGUGUUUGCUGAGACAGGACUUGGGCGAGUUAGGCUUUAGGCCUUUUGGAGAGCGAUAGAAAUGACAAUGACUAAAGGCCACACCAAAACCUGUGAAAGGCAGCCACAGCAGUACUCAGAGGAAAAUCUAUAACUCUAGGUGCAUUUAUUAGAAAACACCAAAGACUUGAAAUAAUUUUAACUUUCAAGUCAAGAAGCCAGAAAAAGAAUAAAACACCAAAAAGUAGAAAGCAAAUAAUGAAGGCAAAAAGCAGAAAUUUGUGAAACAGAAAAUGAAAUAAAUACAAACUUAAUAGAAUUUAAUUCCUGAAAAGAUCUCCUUAUACUUUACAGAUGAAGAGACUGAGGAUCAGAGGAGGGAAAGGACUGCCCUAAUCACACAGCUGGCCAGGAUGUGGCUCCAGGUGCCUCUGUCUCUAAGUCACCAGCACCAGGCUGGGCAAAUGUCCCUGCACAGAGGACCACCUCUCCAGCCAGUAUGGGAGCUCCCAACCGGAUCCUCGAGUCUAGCCCAGGCAGCGGGCUAGGCUGCCACCUGGUGGCCUCUGGGGGAAUGGCUCCGGGCUUGGAAUCUGGACUCUUGAGUCCGUCCCCCAAGCCAGGCCCAGUCAUUCUCGGAGACCUUCUUGUCACGAAAUCAAGCAGGACUUCUGCAACCUGCCCACAGUCCUGCUUUGAACAGAUGGGGGAGUCUGGACUUCCUCCCCCGAGUCCCCUUGGCCUUCAUUUCACCCAGCCUCUCCCACUGCCAGGGGUUCAGAGCCUGGGCUUGGUUUCCACAUGUCACAAUCUGGGAUCCUUGCUCUAGCACAUGCUUGCCAUGUGGCACCUGACUUCCAAUUCCCUUGCCUGCUCAUGAGGACCCUCGGGAAGAACUGAAUGGAGACUGGUGUACGGGAAGGGCCCUGCUUUCCAGUACUCAGCAAGCCCAUCUGCUGGCGGGCUCCUCCUUGUUGCCCCCUCCUCAGGUCUCAAUAAAAGCUCUCAGCCCUCA
This is a long non-coding RNA of Neofelis nebulosa (Clouded leopard), 2367 nucleotides long. RefSeq lists it as uncharacterized. The record is from RefSeq and is a predicted model, not a curated record. NCBI's taxonomy places the organism in Eukaryota, Metazoa, Chordata, Mammalia, Carnivora, Felidae. The transcript has 3 exons.